AUUCGACCCAUUCAACUCGACCCUCAUGUAACCAUAUAAAGUACGAAGUCUGAAUCAUUGUUGAUCGGUGCCCUUCAAGCAAGAAAACUGAGUUCAACAAAGAAACUCCGACCUCAGACAGCGAAAAUCGGGCUUGCACUCACACACUUGCAACUUUUUGUGUAUGAACACAAAGUCGAACGAAAAUCGUGGUGAAAAAUGAGAAAAGGAAAAGAAAGACAAGGCCAACAAGAGCCAAAGCGUCAUUUUGUUAUUUUUUGUUGAAGUGUUUGGUCGCGUCGUGUCUCGUGUCGUUGUUUGUAUAAUGUUAGUUUAUUAAUUAUAAACAAUUUUAUUAAAUUAUAAACAAUAUGGAAAACAAAAAAGAUGUAAUCUCUAAUGAUGAUGAAAAAUCUAGAAGGUGAAACAUGCGAUUGGGUAUCUAAAAAACACCAACAACAGCAGCAGCAUCAAAUGAAAUAAAAUGAAAAAAAAUGUAUUGUAUUUUAUAUUGUAUUUAUUGUGAAAAUUUCGUUUGCCAAAAUAAAAUAAAAAAUAAAACAGUUUCAGUGAAAAAAAAAUAAA
Episyrphus balteatus (marmalade hoverfly) is the source of this 564-nucleotide long non-coding RNA. RefSeq lists it as uncharacterized. The record is from RefSeq and is a predicted model, not a curated record. NCBI's taxonomy places the organism in Eukaryota, Metazoa, Arthropoda, Insecta, Diptera, Syrphidae. The transcript has 2 exons.